Molecule: ribosomal RNA, 1014 nt
Filed under: Tetragnatha cf. tincochacae DDC-2018
Lineage: Eukaryota; Metazoa; Arthropoda; Arachnida; Araneae; Tetragnathidae
Description: 16S ribosomal RNA
Source: RNAcentral
AUAUAUUUAUUAUACUUUUAAUUUUAAAACUUUGCGCUAUUUCUGAAAAGAAACUUAAUAAUUUUUAAAAAGUAAAAUUAUAUUCCUUUUGUAUCAGGAAUAAUUAAAAUAUUUAACUAUUUUUUUUCAUUCCUGAAAAGAAAAGAUCUAUUAAUUAAAAUUAAUUAUAUUAAAAUAUAAUAAAAAUUAGUUUUUAGAAAUUAAACUUUAAUCGAAUUUCUUGAUACCCGGUAUUUCACCUUAUAAAAAUUUAUCUAUAAAAAUUUAUUGUACCAGCUAUAAAUUUUAGAAUACUUCUUUUUUCCUUAACAUAAAAAAUAAAAUUUUUUAAAAAAUUUUACACUUAAUUAUAAGUUUAAUUUUUCUCUUACAAGUGAAAAAAUUUUUUCAUAAAAUCCAUUAUAAUUAUAUUAGUAUAUAAAUGAAUUAAUUCAAAAGAACUCGGCUGUAAAGAAAUGACUGUUUAACAAAAACAUUUUUUUAAAAAUUAUUUAAAAUAUAACCUGCUCAAUGAAAUUUUAAUAGCCGCAGAAAUUUAACUGUGCUAAGGUAGCAUAAUCAUUAGUCUCUUAAUUAGGGGCUAGAAUGAAAGGUUUAACAUUUUCUUUUCUAUUUUUAAAUUAAAUUUAGAACUUAUACUAAAUAUAAAAAUAUAUUUAUAAAAAAAAUAGACGACAAGACCCUUUCAAACUUUACUGAAGUUUAGCUGGGGAAGCUUUUUAAUUAAAAUCUUAUAAAUUUAUACAUAAAAGACCUAAUAUAAAUUAAUUAUAUGAACAAGUUACUGAAGGGAUAACAGCAUAAUAAAUUUUUAAAGUUCUUAUUAAAAAAUUAGUUUAUGACCUCGAUGUUGAAUUAUUUUACUUUUAAACGCAAGAGUUUAAAAAGUGGGUCUGUUCGACCCUUAAACUUUUACAUGAUUUGAGUUCAAAUCGGCGUAAGCCAGAUUGGAUUCUAUCUAUUUAUUACUUUUCUUUUAGUACGAAAGGGCCAAAGAAAAAUUAUAUUAAUAAU